RNAcentral lists this long non-coding RNA (1046 nucleotides) under Anser cygnoides (Swan goose). Its description in RNAcentral is "lncRNA (ENSACDG00005005704.1)". Lineage: Eukaryota; Metazoa; Chordata; Aves; Anseriformes; Anatidae. The record is from RNAcentral.
AUGCUUACAUACAUUGUUAGGAAAGCUGGGGUGGGCAGGGCUGGCAUUGCAGCCUGGUGGAUCCAGCCCACCCACUGCAACUGCCGUGCGAGGGAGACUUUACCUCUGAAGAAGGUGCAAUCGGAUCUCUCAUCUUUUGGCAGGGGCAAAGGAGAGAUGACUAAAAAAAUGAGGACGAAGAGGAGGAAAUCAGUGAUAGGCAAUCCACAGCACCACUACUGCAGGCUUGCAAGAAGGAAUGCACACAUUGAGCGUUUGUACAGCAUCCAGCGCAGUGAAGCCCCAAUGUGGAAUGCAGUUCCUUCUGGCUACCCAGGAGUUCAUCUACCAUCCAGCUGCUGUGUGGGUUGUGACUGAGCAUGCGAUUAGGAGAAGGGAGAUUAGUGGUUCUUCAACACCCUCUUAAUGUAAAAAUGGUGUAUUUGGGUACACGAUAUAGGUAUCUUCAGAUAUGCUGACCUAAAUGUGAUACUUAAAAAAAAAUAAUACUGGUAGGGUUCUCUGAAAAUUUAAAAUAGAUCUCUAGGAUAUAGACAAAAACCUUUGGGUUCUAGUGCUGUGUUCAACCAGGGCAGGAAAGUACACAAAAGACAGAUGUUGGUGUUCAGUAUCAGUGUAUUCCUUAUAUUCUGGAGUUUGAGAACAUCUCUGGCUUGCAUGGCUAUGUUAAAAUUCAGACCUUUCAAAUCUGCAGAGACCAACAAUAGUAAAAGUCAACCAAACUUUUGACUAGAGGCGAAGCCUAACCUCAGACCUGGGAAAAUAGGUCUUACGAACUCUCUGUCAUGAUAGCCACCCUUCAGGAGUCUGUUUUUCCAGGACAUCUCUCAGUCAUCUUUUGCUUCAUUUCUUUGGAGUAAUAUGGCCUUGAAGUUCCUAAGAUUCUGUGCUAUAAAAUUUAAUAGAAAAUGAUUUGCUAGAAGAUUUCUCUUUUACAGGGUAGAAAAAAGAAAAAUCAACCUAUAAAAAACCUGUAUUGCCUCUAAAGAUGGGAGGAGAACCAAAGCCCUGGCAUAAAAUAAAAGGAUACAUCUUAAAAUAAAACA